RNAcentral lists this ribosomal RNA (301 nucleotides) under uncultured bacterium. RNAcentral describes it as "partial 16S ribosomal RNA". It matches the Rfam family "Bacterial small subunit ribosomal RNA", at positions 509 to 807 of the family's 1533-position model. The record is from RNAcentral.
CAGCCGCCGCGGGAAUACGAAGGGUGCAAGCGUUAAUCGGAAUUACUGGGCGUAAAGCGUGCGCAGGCGGUUUGUUAAGUUGGAUGUGAAAUCCCCGGGCUCAACCUGGGAACUGCAUUCAAAACUGACAGACUAGAGUAUGGUAGAGGGUGGUGGAAUUUCCUGUGUAGCGGUGAAAUGCGUAGAUAUGCGGAGGAACACCGAUGGCGAAGGCAGCCCCCUGGGCCAACACUGACGCUCAUGCACGAAAGCGUGGGGAGCAAACAGGAUUAGAUACCCCGGUAGUCCCUGUCUCUUAUAC